This 286-nucleotide long non-coding RNA is filed under the name Eucalyptus grandis. Its description in RNAcentral is "long non-coding RNA (EGRA_LNC004974)". The record is from RNAcentral. Lineage: Eukaryota; Viridiplantae; Streptophyta; Magnoliopsida; Myrtales; Myrtaceae.
GGGGAAAUUACAAAAGCAGCAUUUGUACUGCUGUCCCUAUUCAAUUAUGGUAACAUAGACUAAUUUCCAAUCAUAUUUUAGGAUUAAUUUCGUAAUUCUGUCUAGAUGUAGAUAGAAAAGGCAUCGAUUUAGCAUUCAAGAUGAAAAUGUGGCAUUGAUGUUAAUAAUGAAAACAAAUUACUUACGCCUAAAGUUAUGGUAACUUAAUUGGAUUCACCUGGCUCAAACACUCAAAUGUAGAUAGAACGUCCACUAAGCAUCCCAAAUCAACAUGUGGCAUGGAUGU